UUUCUGAGAACUACAUUUUCCUUGAACCUCCCAGAAUGUAGUCAGCCAUGCCAAGCAGGCAUGAUCAAGCAUAGCGAUGUAUGCAACAUCAUAGCAUUAUAAGACAGAGGAGGGCAUUUGUAGCAGAACAGAGGUUUCUUAACCCUGAAUGCAUCUUUAACUAUCUCAGAUGAUCUGUCGCCCUGUGAAGGUGUAAGGUUCAAGAUCACACUGUUCAUUAGAAUACUUUUUUGGGAAAUAUUUUGCUGACACAUACAUGCCUUUUGUGGAGUCCCUCUCCUGCUUGCUCACUGAAAGCCUGUUUUAGAAUGUCGGCCUGACCAAAAAAUUAGGAU
Mauremys mutica (yellowpond turtle) is the source of this 335-nucleotide long non-coding RNA. RefSeq lists it as uncharacterized. The transcript has 3 exons. Lineage: Eukaryota; Metazoa; Chordata; Testudines; Geoemydidae. The record is from RefSeq and is a predicted model, not a curated record.